RNAcentral lists this small RNA (2796 nucleotides) under Pan troglodytes (chimpanzee). Its description in RNAcentral is "processed transcript". Lineage: Eukaryota; Metazoa; Chordata; Mammalia; Primates; Hominidae. The record is from RNAcentral.
CCGAUGCCACACCAAAUGGCUAGAGGGUGUGUUUGGGAUGACCUGAGUCUGGUAGGCAACUUCCAGUGGACCCCACAGUGCGACCACCUCCCUUUGAGUGUGGGGGAGAUGUAGCGACUGGCUUCUAGCAGUAGGAUAGGGCAGAGGUGACGGUAGGUUAGUCUUGUGGUUAGGUUACAAAACUGACCUCUGUGAUGGUAGCGUCCCUCUUGUCAGCCCUCUCGUCUUGCCCUCUCGCUGGCUGGCGGUGAUGGAGCCGGCUGCCAUGGUGAGCCGCCCUGUGGAGAAGCCAGGGAGGAAUGGAGACAAUCUGGAGAAACAGAAUCACACCAACAACCACGUGUGUGAGCUUGCUGUGUGCUCUUGCUUGGGAGCAAGUUACAGGUUCAGCCCAAGAGGAGUGGACCACUCCAGGGUGUGAAUACCAGGAGGGGGAAUUGGAAGACUACCCUAAGCAUGCCGACUGGAGACUGUGUGUGUAGUAGGUAUUUCUUACUGGGAGAUCACGGAAAAGCAAGUUUGAGAAACACUCCCAUCAGAUGGGUGGGCCGAGGAUAACCUCAAAGCCUUUGGUUCUCUGAAUAGGUGGUAGGACUCACCCAGGCACUCUUUCCUUUUUUAAAUUGUGGUAAAAAGUACAUAACAGUGGCCAGGCAUGAUGGUGCACGCCUGUAAUCCCAGCUACUAGGGAGGCUGAGGCAGAAGAACUGCUUGAACCAAGGGGGCACCGCUCCUGGCUGUAACAUGUUUUCAACAUCCCCCCUCUUCGGUGGCACAGGGGCUGGCCCCAUAUACAUGUGUGAUGGCAACUGACAGGGUCCCUGAUAACACCGGAGUGCUCCAGAAACACCCCAUUGCCUGGGACGGAGGAUGUUAUGUGGCCCUCCUAGGGUUUGAGUUUGAUAAAUGAGCAAAGGAAGUGGUUUUUAGUAGAAAGCCAGCUUUCCUUUUUUUUUUUUUUUUUCCCAGCCAGCAAACCCCAAACAGGAACCUAUGGUUGGUGAUGGAUGUGCGUUCAGAAAGCAGGGAGGGAGGGGGAGUCAGAGGUGAGGGGGGUCAUCAGCCAUAGCUGUCCGCUGCAUCACCCCCUCGCUAUCUCCAGAAAGUGUUCUGGGCUUUUCCUGUUGUGCAGUGUGGAAGUGCCCCAUCUUCAUUCAUAUCGAGGAAAGUCAAAGGACAAACUAAAGCCGGCAGCGUCUUUCUGGCUUCCUAGUCAGGCUGUUCGGUAGCGGAGUGUCACCCUGAUUUCCAGCCCCGCAGCACACACAGUGAGACCCUGCCUGGCGUGAUUCAGAGGCAACAUAUUUCCCAAGGUGGCUGUGAAGGAACCAGGGGGAUAAACACAGCCCAUGAACCGCAAGCCAGAGGACAGGUCCAGCUGGCUGCUGCGGAGUCAUCACGGCGUGUCGCGUCUGAGCACUUCUCCAAAGCACCCAAGUGGCACCCGGGGCGACAUUUACAUCAUCUUGAGUACAGUUCUCUCAAGGAAAAAGCAAGCCCAGCAUCUUCUGCCAUGGCAACCCUGGCUUGGAGCCUCAUAAGAGAGAAGGCCCUAAGAAUACCAUUUUCUUGCUCUAAGUUGCUCUUACGGGAAAGAAGUGAUAAUAUUCUUCCUAAACGCCAUCAUUCGUGCAUCCUUCCUACCUACAUGUGUCACCGGAUCAUUCUCCGCCUGGGCGGGGCCGUCCUGUGCACUGCACAAUGCUGAGCAGUGUCCUUGGCUUCGACCGACCAGAUGCCAGGAGCACCCCAAUUUCUGCCAUCGGGUGACUGACUUCACUGUUGCAUUUGAUUUUUUAUGUAUCUUUUAAAAAGGACCCAAUAGGGCCAGGCACAGUGGCUCAUACUUGUAAUCCCAGCACUUUGGGAGGCUGAGGUCGGUGGAUUGCUUGAGCCCAGGAGGAGUUCAAGACCAGCCUGGGCAACAUAGUGAAACCCCCCAACUCUACAAAAAACAAAUGUUUUAUUUCUAUUUUUAUUUAUUUUAGAUGGAGUUUCACUCUUGUUGCCCAGGCUGGAGUGCAGUGGCGCAAUCUCGGCUCCCAGGUUCAAGCGAUUCUCCUGCCUCAGCCUCCUGAGUAUCUGGGAUUACAGGCAUGUGCCACCACACCCAGCUAAUUUUGUAUUUUUAGUAGAGAUGGCGUUUCUCCAUGUUGGUCAGGCUGGUCUCAAACUCCCGACCUCAGGUGAUCUGCCUGCCUCGGCCUCCCAGAGUGUUGGGAUUACAGGCGUGAGCCACCACGCCCAGCCGGGUUUAUAGUUUUAUAACCCUUAUGACAAAUCUCAUAGUAUUCUGCAGGGAUAAGCAUGAAACCACUUGUUCAAUAAGUGCAAACAAAAACGCCAACAAUUCUUAAGACAUUUCUAAUCUUAUUUUACCAAUAAUUUUAAAGCCAGCUUAUGUAUUAAAGAUUUAUAACCACUGUUAUUAGCGUUUAAAAUUCUAUGCAGCUUAAAGCAUUUAUAAUGGAUAAAACUGCCAAUACUGAGUGCCUGACAUAAUAUCUGAAAGGUGGCAGGCAUUCAACCAUGGCCACUGAAUGAGAGAUGUAGGGAAGAUGAUGGCAGGGAGGUUUUUAGAUAUCAACACCCUGAUAGUCCUCAUUUUAACCACCUGUAAGUGCACAUACAAGUCAACGCCACUGUGCCUGGCUGAUUUUUAUUCUUUUAGUUAAGGCUGGUUGAUAUUACCUUGUGUGUAUAUACCACAUGUUGUUUAUCCAUUGUUGUUGAUGGACAUGUGGGUGGUUUCACCUUUUGGCUAUUGUGAAUAAAGCUGCUAUGAACACUGUGUAC